GCUGUUACACCGGAAAUGCCCUAGAGCACCAGGAACUGACAGAAGGUCAAAAUUCCAACAUGGCGGCGCGCGGUGUGUUAGGGUCUAUCUGGAUUUCGUUAUCUGGUGUUAAAGGUGUUGCGAGCAGAGGCAGUGUAAAUGUUCUGAAGAGGAUUAAUAUUUUUCCCCAACUUCCAGCUUUUGUAAAUAUUCAGACAAGAGGAAUCCGGGAGGUGGUGGAAAAGCAAGACGGCAAAACGACGAUCAUUGAGGGGGUGAUGGUGGAGUCGCCCGCAGGUCUGCAGCCCCCCAACUCCACAGCUAAGUGUCCCAUGUACCGCUGGAACCUGCAGAACAAGUACAACUACACGGACGUUCUCCUGCUCAGUCAGUUCAUCCGUUCGGACGGAGGAAUGCUGCCUCGACGAAUCACAGGCCUCUGUGCUGACGAGCACCGCAAGAUCUCCGCCUGCGUCCAGAUGGCCUUCAGAGCAGGUCUCCUCCCUGACCACAAGCCCAAACUACCCGAGGGCCAUGUUCCAAAGAGGCCCAAGCCCCAGCUCAACAGGUACCUGACGCGCUGGUCGGUGGACUCUGUGAAGCCCAUCUACCGGUCUGGUCUGAAGUGGUGCAAGAAAAGAGUUUCUGUCGGCCAUGUUGCUCUUUCUGACAACAUACGCUACGGCAAGAAGCCCCUGUACCUCAAACACUGACCGCUGUACCUCAAACACUGACCCGAGCCCUGACCUCCAACCUUUACCCCUGACCUCCAACCUUGACCCCUGACACUGGCCCUGACCUCCAACCUUGACCCCUGACACUGGCCCUGACCCCUGUACCUCAAACACUGACCCCAUGCCUGUCUUCAAGAAUGGCCCUCUUGUUUUGGAUUGGUCCGUUGAACUUUCAGGAGACUCCAUUGGAGUGCAGCUGUUCUGGUAUUGAUAUAUUGUCGGGUCAAAGGUCAUCUCCACACCCUCAAACAGCCAGACCAGUUACUGUUUCUGCUUCUAUUUGAAGAUGCCCAGAACAUUAACUCUUAACUCUGCCACAGCCUUCUGGAAGCCAGUCCGUCUCACAGCUUCGAUGUAGGUGGGAUGUGUAGCGUGUAUGAGCGUGUAUACGUAACAUCAACCCAGAUGUGCAAAUAAAACGUAUCCGUUUACUCCA
This is an RNA transcript of Osmerus eperlanus (European smelt), 1149 nucleotides long. It is a transcript of the gene named mitochondrial ribosomal protein S18A, with no coding region annotated. NCBI's taxonomy places the organism in Eukaryota, Metazoa, Chordata, Actinopteri, Osmeriformes, Osmeridae. The transcript has 7 exons. The record is from RefSeq and is a predicted model, not a curated record.